This 653-nucleotide ribosomal RNA is filed under the name Clostridioides difficile. RNAcentral's name for it is "partial 23S ribosomal RNA". It matches the Rfam family "Bacterial large subunit ribosomal RNA", at positions 2145 to 2796 of the family's 2925-position model. Lineage: Bacteria; Bacillati; Bacillota; Clostridia; Peptostreptococcales; Peptostreptococcaceae. The record is from RNAcentral.
AGGUGGGAGGCUUUGAAACCAGGACGCCAGUUUUGGCGGAGCCAUCCUUGGGAUACCACCCUUGUAGUACUGGGACUCUAACCAUAGGCCAUGAAUCUGGUCUUGGGACACUGUCAGGUGGGCAGUUUGACUGGGGCGGUCGCCUCCCAAAAGGUAACGGAGGCGCUCAAAGGUUCUCUCAGUACGGUCGGAAAUCGUACGUAGAGUGUAAAGGCAAAAGAGAGCUUGAUUGCAAGACAUACAGGUCGAGCAAGGAUGAAAAUCGGACUUAGUGAUCCGGUGGUUCUGCGUGGAAGGGCCAUCGCUCAACGGAUAAAAGCUACCCUGGGGAUAACAGGCUUAUCUCCCCCAAGAGUCCACAUCGACGGGGAGGUUUGGCACCUCGAUGUCGGCUCAUCACAUCCUGGGGCUGUAGUAGGUCCCAAGGGUUGGGCUGUUCGCCCAUUAAAGUGGUACGCGAGCUGGGUUCAGAACGUCGUGAGACAGUUCGGUCCCUAUCCGUCGCAGGCGUAGGAAAUUUGAGAAGACCUGUCCUUAGUACGAGAGGACCGGGAUGGACGUACCUCUGGUGUACCAGUUGUUCUGCCAAGGGCAUGGCUGGGUAGCUAUGUACGGAAUGGAUAAGCGCUGAAAGCAUCUAAGCGCGAAGCCAA